This 630-nucleotide small RNA is filed under the name Pongo abelii (Sumatran orangutan). RNAcentral describes it as "processed transcript". The record is from RNAcentral. Lineage: Eukaryota; Metazoa; Chordata; Mammalia; Primates; Hominidae.
AAACGUGAAUUUGAUAGGCAUAGUGGAAGUGAUAGAUCUUCUUUUUCACAUUACAGUGGCCUGAAGCACGAGGACAAACGUGGAGGUAGCGGAUCUCACAACUGGGGAACUGUCAAAGACGAAUUAACUGACUUGGAUCAAUCAAAUGUGACUGAGGAAACACCUGAAGGUGAAGAACAUCAUCCAGUGGCAGACACUGAAAAUAAGGAGAAUGAAGUUGAAGAGGUAAAAGAGGAGGGUCCAAAAGAGAUGACUUUGGAUGAGUGGAAGGCUAUUCAAAAUAAGGAUCGGGCAAAAGUAGAAUUUAAUAUCCGAAAACCAAAUGAAGGUGCUGAUGGGCAGUGGAAGAAGGGAUUUGUUCUUCAUAAAUCAAAGAGUGAAGAGGUAAAACUAAGUUUUGUCGUGUUUGAAAAUGUUCAGAUGUGACUUGAAUUGUAUUUGUAAUUUUUGUUUUAAAAUUUCACAUGGGUUAUUUGUCUAAAAAAAAGCUGUACAUAGGAUCAUUUGGGGCAGAUAAUUUGCUUUAUAAGGAAAAUAAACUGUAUUAUCACAUAUUCUAAGAAAUUUAGUCCUUUGAUCAAUUCGUAAUUAUGUUUUAUGUGGUAGAGUUGCUUUUUCCUGAAAAGCUGU